UAGAAACAUGCUAGCGACAUGCUAGUAACAUGCUAAUAAUGCUGGAAACAUGCUAGUCAAAUGUUAAUCAUGGUAGAAACAUGGUAGCGACAUGUUAGUAACUUGCUAAUCAUGGUAACAACAUGCUAGUGACUUGCUAAUUAUGUUAGAAACAUGCUAGCAUCAUGCUAGUCACGUGCUACUCAUGCUAGAAACAUGCUAGCAACAUGCUAGUAAUAUGUUAAUCUCUUGCUUUAUUAAACUUCUUAAACUUUUCAAACUUUUUAAACUUUUUACGCUUUCUAAAUUUUUCAAACUUUCUGUUCAGGCUUUCUCAAGCCGACGUAAACUUUUUUAUCUAUUUAUUAUUAUUCUUCUGACCCAAAAUUUUGCAACUCUAACUCCUCCUAGAGCUUUAACUCUACAAACUCCAAACUCGGGUCAGACUUUCAGACUGUUCUGACUUGGUGUGCUAUAUCUUUUCAGACUGAUUUGACUUUCAGUUUUCUUAAAAAUGAAUAUUAAAAAUCAUAAAAACCCCAUAGACUUACAUUGCAGAGUGCUCAAAUUGAGCAAAGACUACGGUGGCCCAUUAGUGCACAAGCCAAAAAUUCAAAUCUAAACUCCCUGAAGCCCUAGACUCAAUUAAACUACCAUUCUAUGUCUAUCUAUCUAUCUAUCUAUCUAUCUAUCUAUCUAUCUAUCUAUCUAUCUAUCUAUCUAUCUAUCUAUCUAUCUAUCAUCUAUCUACAGUAUCUAUCUUCAAACGUUUUCUAUCUAUCUUCAAACUUUUUCUAUCUAUCUAUCUAUCUAUCUAUCUAGCUACAGUAUCUAUCUACAGUAUCUAUCUAUCAUCUAUCUACAGUAUCUAUCUUCAAACUUUUUCUAUCUUCAAACUUUUUCUAUCUAUCUAUCUAUCUAUCUAUCUAUCUAUCUAUCUAUCUAUCUUCAAACUAUUUCUUGCUUUCUUUCUAUCGGUCUAUCUAUCAAUCUGACUGUUUCUAUCUAUCUGUCUAUCUAUCUAUCUAUCUAUCUAUCUACUCAUCUAAUAUUUCUAAUCUAUCUAUCUAUCUACUCAUCUAAUAUUUCUAAUCUAUCUAUCUAUCUAUCUAUCUAUCUAUCUAUCUAUCCUAGCAACAUGCUAAUAAUGUAAGAAACAUGCUAGUCGAAUGCUAAUCAUGCUAGAAACAUGUUAACAACAUGCUAGUCGCAUGCUAGUCAUGCUAGAAACAUGCUAGCAACAUGCUAGUCGCAUGCUAAUCAUGCUAGCAACAUGCUAGCAGGAUGCUAAUCAUGCUAGAAACAUGGUAGCAUCAUGGUAGUCACAUGCUAAUCAUGCUAGAAACAUGUUAGCAACAUGCUAGCGACAUGCUAAUCAUGCUACAAACAUGUUAGCAACAUGCUAGCGACAUGCUAGCAACAUGCUUUUUUUAAUGGAUGGACACUUUUUAUUUCACUUCUUUUGGACUGAGGCAUGCAACCCGCUGAGUGCCAUCAAACAGCUUAAAAGAUCAAUUUCUUGGACUUCCGGUUGGGCAGUGAAGCACGAUGGCACGUUAAACUGUGAGCUCCCUUAAGUCAGUUUCAAAACUCCGCUAAACUCGAUAUAUAUUUGUUGAGAAUUUACGUGUGCUGAGAGAUGAGCGGAGGUAACAAACCUAAAGCUAAAAAAAACCUCGAAAAGCGAGGUAAAGACCCCAAACGAACAGAAACAGACAGCAUGCAAGAAAAAGAAGAAAAUAGCGACCGAGAAACUGCAGACGCUCUGCGCGCGGGUUUAAACGCUAUAAGUAAGCAGAUACAGGAAUUUCGCAGCGAGCUGAAAGCGGAGCUCGGGACAUUUAAAGAU
Long non-coding RNA from Cyprinus carpio (common carp), 1828 nucleotides. NCBI's taxonomy places the organism in Eukaryota, Metazoa, Chordata, Actinopteri, Cypriniformes, Cyprinidae. The record is from Ensembl.